Molecule: ribosomal RNA, 468 nt
Filed under: uncultured bacterium
Lineage: Bacteria
Description: partial 16S ribosomal RNA
Rfam family: Bacterial small subunit ribosomal RNA
Source: RNAcentral
GACGAACGCUGGCGGCGUGCUUAACACAUGCAAGUCGAACGGAAAGGCCCUGCUUUUGUGGGGUGCUCGAGUGGCGAACGGGUGAGUAACACGUGAGUAACCUGCCCUUGACUUUGGGAUAACUUCAGGAAACUGGGGCUAAUACCGGAUAGGAGCUCCUGCUGCAUGGUGGGGGUUGGAAAGUUUCGGCGGUUGGGGAUGGACUCGCGGCUUAUCAGCUUGUUGGUGGGGUAGUGGCUUACCAAGGCUUUGACGGGUAGCCGGCCUGAGAGGGUGACCGGGCACAUUGGGACUGAGAUACGGCGCAGACUCCAACGGGAGGCAGCAGCGGGGAAUAUUGCACAAUGGGCGGAAGCCUGAUGCAGCAACGCCGCGUGCGGGAUGACGGCCUUCGGGUUGUAAACCGCUUUCGCCUGUGACGAAGCGUGAGUGACGGUAAUGGGUAAAGAAGCACCGGCUAACUACGUG